UACGUAGGUGACAAGCGUUAUCCGGAAUUACUGGGCGUAAAGCGCACGCAGGCGGCGCAGUAAGUCUGAUGUGAAAUCUCCUGGCUUAACUGGGAGGGGUCAUUGGAAACUGCUGUGCUUGAGGCGAUGAGAGGGGUGUAGAAUUCCCGGUGUAGUGGUGGAAUGCGUAGAUAUCGGGAGGAAUACCAGUGGCGAAAGCGACACCCUGGCAUUAGCCUGACGCUCAUGUGCGAAGGCGUGGGGAGCGAACGGGAUUAGAAACCCCCGUAGUCC
RNAcentral lists this ribosomal RNA (273 nucleotides) under uncultured bacterium. RNAcentral's name for it is "partial 16S ribosomal RNA". It matches the Rfam family "Bacterial small subunit ribosomal RNA", at positions 524 to 796 of the family's 1533-position model. The record is from RNAcentral.